This is a long non-coding RNA of Solea senegalensis (Senegalese sole), 2950 nucleotides long. RefSeq lists it as uncharacterized. The transcript is spliced from 5 exons. Lineage: Eukaryota; Metazoa; Chordata; Actinopteri; Pleuronectiformes; Soleidae. The record is from RefSeq and is a predicted model, not a curated record.
UCAGUAAGUGCUACUCAUUUUCUGUCCAUAAAGAAUUUUACAACUACAAUUAAAUGGUUUCUUCAACUUUAUUUGACAUUUAUUGUGAUCAUUUCAUAGCGCCCUAUGAAACUAAAUUGGACCAUUAUAGGAUUAUUAUUAAAUUGUGUUGGCAACAUUAAAGUAAUCACCUGAUAAUAGAACAAGCUUGAACGUCAGAAACUGAGUCCGGUCCGCGUGAGUGCGCACUGAAACCCUCUUACCUGUUGAAACACCUGUGAGUGAGCGAAAAGCUACAAGUGUUUAUAAAGUAAAUCAAUCCUCAGCCACAAAUUGUUUUUGGCAACUGGAAUAUACUGCAUGUUACCAUUUACACAAAACCGUCACAGAUAUUUCAUCAAAGACAGACUAUACAUUUGCACGUUUAUUUAUUUACUCUUUGUCUUUCCUCUUGUGUGGCACAAUUAAAUGAAACAUGUACUAUUUUACUUUAAAAAGACUGAUGGAAAUCUAAUGCUGGAGAAGACAAAUGUUUCUGAAAUGUAUGUAUGUUUUAAAAAAGGGAUGAAGGACGUUUGUACAGCUGUGAAUCUUAUUUGACCGUUUCUGUCGCCUCCUCCACGCUCCUCCAUCCAUCCCGGUGAUGUAGUAUUAUGUUUAUUUUUGUAUGUACACGAUGUCUGAUGGCUUUGAACGUGCGUGUUUGUCUGCAUGUGCAUCUGGUUUACACAUCAGCGCUCCAGCGUCAUGACCUUGACCUGGUGAAACUGUGUGUGUGUGUGUGUGUUUAACAUGUUUCAUUGUUAUAUUUGCAGCAGUCUGAUGUCACUCGAGGUGAAGUUGUUCAGGUCGUAAGAGUGUAGAGGUCAGAGUGAGAGUGGAGACGCCGCUGCAGCCCGAGGACCAGUCCACACACAUAGUAGGUGACAGUUCUGAGGAAGGUAGAAGAUACAUGACGAAACUUGUCAACAAGGAUGUCAUCAGCAACACCACCUUCAUGCCAGCUCCUCUGCGUCUCCACCCCGCUGUGCCAGUUCCUCCGCGCUGCCGCCGCCACUGGAGUUCACGACCUCUCAGGGUUCACGUUGGGACGAGGUCCCUUCCUGAGGGAGGAGAGGUAACUGUGCUGAGGCGUCACGUGACUUCAGAGAGCAAAAGGAAGAAGUGGUGAUAGCCUCUCAAAUUAACGACUGGUUGGAUGAUUAACUCUUUACUGCCCCCACAGUUUCCUGGUGCUAUUACUCUGUUUCGUCCGUCAUUAUGGACGGACUGGGACAUGGAUACCCUUCUCCUGGACUCUCCUGACUCCCACCCACACGUUAACAUGUGUUUCACAUUCAGAGCGGAGGGAGAUGUUGCAGAGCGACGGCCAAGCGCUCCGUGUGACUGGCAGCUCCGCGCUCUCACACUCGCUCUGUCUCAUGAACUUUACACCACACCAUUAUGUCUCUCUGAGUGAGCAUUAUUAUUACUAUUAUUAUCAUCAUUAUUAUUAUUAUAAUAUCUUUUAUGAGAAUGUUCAAAACUCUUGAUAAAAAAAAAAAGAGUAGAAGAAUGAGGUCAAGUUUCAUUCUUUCUCUUCACAGCUGAGGCUCAUUGGUUCAAAACCUGCUGGAAAUUAUGAAAAUUAAUCCGCUGAAUUUUGUUUGUUUUCUUAAAUCGGGUUCAACUAUUUGUUCAAACGAUGUAAUAUGUUGUUUUUUUAAAGACACAGUAUGUAAUCCGUGCCGCCCGGAGUCUCUUUAGUCAAAACAAUAACAAAAGUUUGAUGACAUCAGGAAACAGCGAGGCAUCAUGGGAAAUUUUGUUUUACUAAUCCAUGAGUGACAAACAUCUGCAGGGUUCCCAAAGGUCCUUGAAAGUUUGUGAAUUUGAAAAAAAAAAGUUCACAUCCCCUAAAAGUUUAUGAAAAUGGCCCCAAAUAGACAAGGAUCGUUGAAAGUGCUUGAAUUGUGUGCAAGAAAGAAGUGAAAUAGAAAUUUAGGUAAAUGUCUCCCAUCACUGAUGUGCCCUUCAAGGUUUCUGUGUGUCCUUGAAAUCCUUGAAAGUGUGUGCAUUUGAAAAAAUACAUUUCAAGAACCUUGAAAGUGUUCUAAAUGGUCGUACUAAGUAGUCAUGAGUCAUUGAAAGUGCUUGAAUUUGGUGCAAGAAAAGAAGUUCAGUUGAUGUUUAGGUGAAUGUUUCCUUUGGCUGUAAAUGACCUAUAUAAUUAGCUAUUGUCAUGACUGAUUUUGUGAUAUGUGUCCUAAUGUGUCCUUGGCUAUCUUUAAAAAGUGUGUCCUCAUAUAGAACAUUUGGGAAACAUUGAUUUUAUCAUGAGAAAUAAGGUGGGUUUUUUUUUUUUGCUUAAAAACACAAAGUGCAUUUUCUGUUGUUUAUAAUGUAUAAAUUCACAUUAUAAUACAACAAUUGUAUCGCGGCCUGUGUCUGUACGUGCAAGCGUCGUAGGGGGCAACUGCUGUUUGAUGGCGCUGGACGUGGCUGUGAGCGGAUGAGGAGCAGACACACACACACAAACAUAAAUACACACCACACGCACUUGAAAGAGAGAGUUGGAUAAAAGGCGAGACUGCGGCAGGAAACACAUGGCAUUCUACUGUACGAGGGCAGGUGGACACAAACAGGCGAGACGGGGGUCAGGGGUGGUGCUGCUGCUGCUCUGCACAAGACAAAAGGCGGCAGUGGUGGUGGUGGAGGGUUCAGUGGACGGUUUUGGUUCCGUCUUAGUUUGUCCAGCUGGAAGACAAGGAGACCCAGACAGAUUCCUGAUGUCACCCGCAGGACCCCGCCCUCCCCAGCUCUGCUACUUCCUGUCCCUGCAGCGGUGACGUCACAGCCUGCAGACCAGCUGGGGAUGUCACGUCCACCCCCUCUGUCCCCUCACUCAACUCAGCUUCAACCACUGGUGUCCAGCUGUGACCGCGGAGGCACGUACCAAAGGCAACGACAGAAAACACCAAAUAUUAGUCCA